RNAcentral lists this long non-coding RNA (571 nucleotides) under Brassica napus (rape). Its description in RNAcentral is "long non-coding RNA (BNAP_LNC027095)". Lineage: Eukaryota; Viridiplantae; Streptophyta; Magnoliopsida; Brassicales; Brassicaceae. The record is from RNAcentral.
CUUGUCGUAUUUCAUCCUCGGUUAGUAGCCUGAUUAACCGCUGAUUCAUUUGGAGGCGAUGGAUGGUGUAAUCUCGUCCAAAAAACCUUCGAAUUAUGAAAGAGAAGUUGUCUGAAACAAAUCAUCAAAUCAAUCCAAUGCAACCUUUUCUACACCUUGUUCCUCAAUUAUCAUGUUUCCAUCAGUAUCAGAGUUCCACGAUCCUAUUACGAGCAUGACAUUAUUUUUGUAGGGCAUUGAUAGAAUGUAGUAUUAAGAUCCCUUGAUGUAUACCACAUAUUACUACUUUUCUGUUGCCAAAAAUCUUCAUCGUCUUUAUAUGUUUCUUGUAACUUUUUAGAUACUUCCCGUAUGUUUUGUUGAGUUCUACUAUUAUCAGUUUGUACUUCUUCCGGUGCUUUUUGAAGCUCACUAGUUCUCUCUUUUCCAUAUAGUGGAUCAUUCUUUCACCAUGUAGCGAUAUCAUGGCGACAAUUAAUAAUUUUUGAUAUAAAAUCUCCCGAGUUCUCUGAUGCCGAUUCACUCCAACCUCUCCCAGUUGAUCCAACAAACCAUCAUGUCCAAUCCAUCU